This 253-nucleotide ribosomal RNA is filed under the name uncultured bacterium. RNAcentral describes it as "partial 16S ribosomal RNA". It matches the Rfam family "Bacterial small subunit ribosomal RNA", at positions 524 to 776 of the family's 1533-position model. The record is from RNAcentral.
UACGUAGGUGACCAGCGUUGUCCGGAUUUACUGGGCGUAAAGAGCGCGCAGGCGGUCGUUCAAGUCGAGUGUGAAAGCCCCCGGCUCAACUGGGGAGGGUCACUCGAUACUGAUCGACUUGAAGGCAGGAGAGGGAAGCGGAAUUCCCGGUGUAGUGGUGAAAUGCGUAGAUAUCGGGAGGAACACCAGUGGCGAAGGCGGUUCUCUGGGCAUGACCUGACGCUGGGGAGCGAAAGUGUGGGGAGCGAACAGG